CAGACUUUUCUCUUUCAGAUUUGCUAGACCCAUUCUCCAAGGAGGAAAGCUUUUCGGCAGCUGCUUUCUUUGCUUCUAGCUUCCUUUGCCGACACGUCUUAACGGGCUCUGCCAACAUCCUUACUUUUCGGCGAAAGGAGAAUGUCUCUCAGAUACGUGGACAGAUAACCACAGCUCGUGGGCACACGGCCACAGUUUCCUCCGUGAGGCUCCAAACAUUGUCUGAUCAGCUCCAAUUUCAGUACCAGGAUGAUUCAAACAUACAUUUUGACUGGCAGGCACCUAUAUGAACCAACCAUAUAGGUUGCAACUAAAUCCCUUCUGAGAGUUGCCAGCUAAUCUUUCUUCUCAGCUCCUUACUGAUAGAAAUAUCCUCAGAUCAUGACCUCAACUGACUUGUGCUCAAUCAUUUACCAGGAUGAGACUUAAGAAAGCAGAAGUCAGAUACCUGGGAGCUUGUAGAUAGCUCACUGGGUUGUUCCUGGCGUGCUGCCACAGCCUCCAUCCUGCUGGCACCCUUCUGCCACCGCUAGAUGACACAGAGGUCUAAAUUGCUCCCAGACUUGUAGCACUUUUGAGACAGGAGUUUGUGCCUUGUACAACUUACAAGUCAAACCAAUUGCUCAUAAAUACAUGGGAAAAACAGGUUUGUCAGGGGCCUGAGGAUGUGAGUGCCCUGUUUCUCAGCUCUAGGGCAGCAGCAGCCAGACCUGUACCAGUCCACUCCAACUUGUUUUCGAAGGUCUGUAAUGAUGAGGGUUGUAUAAUAACACAUACAGUGCUUCAUUAGCCUUACUUAUUAGAAAGCUUCUACCAUUUAAAAUAUAACCCUAGAUUGUCUCUUCCCAUUUACCACAGACUCGCAGAGCAGCCUUUUUUCUUUGUGCUAUGCCUCCUUUCUCCCUAUGUAACUGAAGACUGUUAUCAAUGCUCCCCCUCUAAGACAAAAUAAACAACCCAGUUCAUGACAUCUGAUCUCCUCCCUGGGUAGAUCUGUAUCCAUACCAUUUGUUCCCUGACCAGAUGCAUGGAGGUCACAAAGCAAAUGCAACAGUCUGUUCUUUGGAGACCUUAAUGCACAUGCCACAUUCUGCCAGAUUUUCCCUGGGUUCAGAUAUUUGAUAUACAAGCAGCUAUAACAUGUGCCUACAUAAUAUUUCAAAUACCUGUAUGAAUUAGCUUGGCUUUACCCCAGUAAUUAAAAUCAGUUUUAUUCUGCCAGUGUGAGAGGGACUGUAUAAAUCACAUUUAAAUCAGCAGAACAAGCUUGUUACUUUACACUGCUUUACGGAGGAAGUUGUUUCCUUAAAACCUGACUUUGGCAUGUUUAAGUCUGUGAGCCACUGGCACAAACACCUCAGAGGCACCACAGAAGAUAAGAAUCUAAUGCAUUUUUAGAGAUCCAUUAGAAGAUGCU
Molecule: long non-coding RNA, 1417 nt
Organism: Pezoporus flaviventris
Lineage: Eukaryota; Metazoa; Chordata; Aves; Psittaciformes; Psittacidae
Exons: 6
Source: RefSeq, a predicted model, not a curated record